Long non-coding RNA from Apis cerana (Asiatic honeybee), 4813 nucleotides. RefSeq lists it as uncharacterized. Lineage: Eukaryota; Metazoa; Arthropoda; Insecta; Hymenoptera; Apidae. The record is from RefSeq and is a predicted model, not a curated record.
CUUUCACCUGAAAUAGAUCGAGCUGGAUCCUUCCACUGUGCGUGUAUGUGUGUGUGUGUGUGUGUAUGCUUCUCUUGGAGAAAAAGAAAUCAUUACGAAUCGCUCGGAGAAUGCAUUUCCUUCUCGAUCUCGUCCCAAGAUGCGUCGUCGAAGUUACACGAGGAAGCAUCUUGAUUAGAGGUUUCAAAGCGGAGGAGAGGGAGGGGAGGAGAGGGAGACUUCUGUAGAAACCUCAUUCUUCGAGCAAGCCAUCGAACUUUGGAUGAUUCGAAGAGAAAAAAGAAGGAAGGAGAGAGACAGAGAGUCAGAAAUAGGAAUCUCUACUUACUCGCUUUACUGUUCGACGAAGGUGAAGACGAAGGGAUCCCUUUCUAAAAGUUUCCUAUCCCACCACCUUUUCCACAAAUCGUUUUCCUCUCUUCGAUCACUUGGACUCGAGGGGAAAGGAGGGGGGAAAUAUACCGGCGCGAGCGAUAUUUCGUCGUAUUGUCGCGCGUUCGAUCGACGAGGAUCGAUGGAUCGAGGAGGACUGACGGAGCAACCCCGCGACAGUUGUCCUCGCCCUCCUCUUCGUCGUCGUCGUCGGCGGCGUGGUCGGCGCGCUCUCUAACGCGUCGUUAACGGUCGUGGAGGCCACCCCGUACUGAACGGCUCUGUAUCUCUCUCGUAGUCAAGGACCGGCGUCGAAGGUAUGGCUCCGUUGAUAUUGAUUCGGCCCUCGUGACGUCACGCGGCCCCACGGGGGCGCGACCCACCCUCCUGUCUCGCUUCCUCCGCGCAACCUCUCUCCCUCCGCCGCCCACCACCACUCGCUCCUCUCCAACCACCCCUCGCGUGAUCGAAGUCGGGGGGGCGUGGACUCUGGAGCGGAGUCUGGCUCGCGAGCUUGCGCCUCGGACGCCGCGGCUCCCCUUCUGGUCCACGCGUAACCACCUGGACGUCUGAACAGGUAACAAGCCGUGCGGGGGUUUUCCAAGGUGAGUUGGGAUAAUUGUUGUUAUGGUGUGGAAGAGGAAGUGGUUUGGAUGAGAUGCUCGAGAUUUGUAUUCGGGUUUGGUUGGUAGAUUUUGGUUGGUGGUGUGUUUGUAACAACCGGGCAUUUUCUAAUUUUCUCGAAGGGAAGAAUGUGCAAGGUGUUUGUCGAGCUUUGUGAAAGGUUUGUUUAUUUUUUAAAGUAUAGAGAGUAUAAAUGUGGUUUUCUUUUUGCAAAGGUAGAUGAGAUUAAUUAUAAAUCUUUAAUAUUUAUUUUUUUAGUAAGAAUAAUUUUUUCAAUAAUUAUUAUUUAUAGAAUUAGAUAUAUAGAUUUAAGAGAUUUAAAAAUAAAUCGAUUUUUUUAUUUAAUAAUUUUAUUUUUAAUUUCAAUGUAUAUAUUAAUUUUAAGACCUAAUAUAUUAUCAAUUAUUUUAGGAUGAGAUGGAUUGGGUUUAAUUUCUUAUUGUUUAGUUAUUUAUUAUAUAAAAAUAAAAGCUUUUACUUCAGGUAUAGUUACUAUUCUUUUAAAUCGAUUAGGUGAUAUUGGAUUAUUAUUAAUUAUAGGUUUAAUAACAUUGUACGGAAGAUGAAAUUUAAUAUUAUAUAAUAUAAAUGAUUGAAAUUUUUUGAUUUUGAUCCCCUUUUCAAGCUAGAAAAAAUACUCCCUUUUUUACGGAAAAAUUCUUUUUCCCAGAAAUUGAACAACAUGUUUCUUGCUCGCGAAUUUAUUUAUACCGUUGAUGUGCAAAAUAAGCAAGUUAGGCGUCAUUGAUCAGCUGUACGGGUCCUCCAGGUGAGACUGCGCGUACACGUAGGAAGGUAAUGGUCGAGGGACGCGUCAAUGAAGGUGAAGAGGCGUAUGACCUCGUAAACGAAACACUGUAAAACGUUACGUAGAGAUGAUAAUCGUUGUUAUAACGACGAACGAAUUGAUCGAAUUAUUCGGAAUAAAGUGAUUGGGUAGGAAUGAAAUUUCAAACUUUUUUUAUUUUUUUAUUUUUCUUUUUGUUUCUUUCGGUGCAUGACAUUAACUGAAAGCUUCAAAACAUGGAAAAUAAAAUUAAUUAAAGAUUAUCUAUUUUAAACGGCGGAAAAGAUACUUUUUCUGCUAACAAAAGGAAUCAGAAAGUAAACGAAAUUGUCAAGUGAAGCUUGGAAUAUGAAAUAUCAAAAACUUUACAUUGAUUAAUUUAUCUUAAUUAAACGAAAUCACGCGCUUUCUUUCUUCUUUGUUAAAAUUAAACCGCGAAUAAUUAUGCAAAAUUUUAAAAAAUCGACAUGUAUCGAAAAAUAUUCAAAGUACACACACGAUAUUUAAAAUAAGACGAACCAAGCUCAAAUUCUUAAUCUAACAAUAAAUUUUAUAAUAUAUUUCUUAUUUUACAAAAAACGUUCAUAAUUGAUUGUUCCCAAAUUAAUCCCAGAAUACAGAGCAUUAAAAAUAGAAGAUAACGUUCAUCGUACCACGAUUUAUCACAUCCUUCGAUUUCUCGAUCACUCGAACCAACAUAAUCUCUCAUAAAUCUUGGCAACAAUGGAUAAUUUGAAGAAAGAAAAAAAAAUCUAGCUCUAGGGAAGAAACUCUAGGUAACAUAAAUUCAUCGAUAAUUGCAAGGUAAACUCAGUGAAAGAAGUUUCGAAUAGAACCGUUAACCGUAUAAUCAUCGAAUAUGAAUCAUUUCGCGUCGACAAAAUUCAUUCCUCCUCGUCCAAGAGACAAUGCUGAGUGUCGAGAUACAACGAAAAUAAGAAAAAGAAGGAAAAAGUUAUUAAUGGUUGAGCAACGAAUUGCACCAAAGUAUGGGCAUAAUCUGCCUUCAUGGUUCUCUGUGGACGACGACGCAAUGUCGAAGAGCAAAUAUAGCCAGGCUAAACAAAGGUGAAGGCAGAGAACGAAAUCGAAUCUUCCUAUAUCUGUUCCCUGCUUCUGCAUGGUCGAUACCCACUUGACCCACUCUCUUCAAAAUCUCAAAACUGUACCUUUUACAUUACACCCACUCCAUCCCUUAUAUAUUCAUCCCCGAAAACCCGAUUUCAUCGUAGAUGGAACACGUGGAUUGGUUAAAAAGUAUAUAGGAAGCUUGUUCGAAUCGUAUUUCAAAAUAAUAUUUCUGACGAGUUUUGCUUUCGUUAUUAAUUAUGUAAUAAUGAUUCUAAUAUCCGAAUAUUUUGUUAAACGAGAAUUUUGUAAUAUCGAGAAUAAAUGAUAUUUAUUAAUAAAUAUCAAAAUGGAGACAGAUUUUUAACGUAAUCUGAAUAUUCGAAAAUUGUGUUUCCAUUGUCCACCAUUUCUAUUUGCGGCAUAAAAUGUAAUGAUUUUCUUUAUUGUAGUAGAUGGAAAUAGAAUUUAAUUUGAAUUUAAUUAUUGAAAUCGUGUUCCUUUUUUAAAAGAAAUUUUAAAGUUCGAAAUUCAAGUGGAUUCUAUUUCAAAUUUUAUUUCUCAAUGUUGCUUUUUAAUUGUUGAAAUAUAAAAUCAGAAUAUAUAAUAUAACACAAUCCUAUCCAAUUUUCCCAAGCUGUUACUACUUAUAAAUCCAGGAAAAACAAUAUAAAAUAAAAAUCAGUAAACAAAUUAAAAAUUUUAUUUUCACCCAAUCAUAUUUCUAUAAUUUUUCAAAAUAUAUACGUAUUCAUCAAACAUAAUGGAAACCUUAAUUAACCUUUAUUCAACAUCCUUUAUUCACAUAUUCAAUCACCUUUUUAAUAUUUCCUCGAUAUAAAAUUUCUUAUAUCCCUUAAUUUCGCCCUAAUUAAAAAAAAAAAAAAAACAUGAAAUAACGCGGCCCUUUUUAGAGAGGGAGAGGGGGUUGAAGCGAGGGGUCACCUCCUCUGUCAAGUAUCACAUCAAAAAGUCAAGCAGGCCACGUCGCGGGAACUUGGGGAAUUGAAAAUUGCCACGUGUCAGGUGAAGCACCGGACGACAACAACAACAAGGCACGUGCACGUCUCGAAACAUGGUAACUGGAUACGCUGGAACCGGGUUCCACCGUGGUGGAUUCGAGGGGUGAUUCGAGAGUUCGUGGCUCUUGGGCCAUGCACGAUGUCCAUGCACGUAAAAAGGGGUGUUCUGUUUCGAGAUACGAAUCGAAGGUACCCUACGCUUGUAAGGAAGGUUAGGAAGCGUUGUUAAUAAAUUUCGUUCGUUACGGAUCGUUGGGAUUAUUGGAGGAAAAGGAUCGGAAUAAUAGAGGAUUCGAUUUGUUAACAAGAGUAUGGAAGAGAUGAGAUUUUUAAGGAGGAAUUAAAUAAAAAUUUCGACUCGUGGACAUUCUGGCAUCAAUUUUUCGAGUGAUGACUUUGAAGAUCAUCUGGUAACUGUAAUGGCACUUGAGCGUCAACGAAAGUGGCAAUUAGGCAAAUGCAAUGAAAAGCAAAGAUCAAUUUCAUUUUGAAAUUGUAGAACCUCCGAAAAAGAUAAGAAGAAAACAAAAAUUUAAAUUAAAUUAAGAGUAAAUAAAUUUAAUAUUAUUAAAUUUCAUACGAUUGAUUAUAUUUUUGAUGGAUUUACUGGUAUUUUAUUAAUUUUUAUAUUAUAUUUAUAAUUUUUUAUAUUAUACAAUUAUCAGAUUUAAAUUAUAAUUGUGAUAAAAAAAAAUUUUACACUAAUUAAAUAAAUAUACUUUAAUGAUAAUAUAAUUCCUACAUUUUUUUCUAAAUAAAUAAAUUGAUAUUUUGAUAAAUUCAAAAUAAUUCACGAGAAAAUAUUCAUUUUAAAACGAAAUGUUAUAAAUACAUUUUAAAGAUAUUUUCCAAAUUUAUUAAAAAUUUAUAAAACUGUUAUACUAUCUAAAUUAUUCAUAUAUAUUAUAUAUUCUCUAAAUAAUAUUUAAUUUAUCAAAUG